Maylandia zebra (zebra mbuna) is the source of this 814-nucleotide non-coding RNA. The record is from RefSeq and is a predicted model, not a curated record. Lineage: Eukaryota; Metazoa; Chordata; Actinopteri; Cichliformes; Cichlidae.
UGGACCUUACCCAGGGUGUCACUUCUCUUCUCUUUUCAAUUGACUCUGUGCCAGUGUGGGAGUUAGAGCCAAUGUGUUUUGUAAAUCUCCAUGAUGGUGAUCAGUGUGUAAAACUGUUACCAGUCACUGUUUAUAAAAUGCCAGACAGUGUGUCAUUGAGACAGAAUUCAACUACAGUGAAAGAAGGUGAACAGUUUGCCAUACAGUGUGACAUUGUUAAUGUUGCACCAGCAAUAAAUCUCUCUAUGCUUUGGCACAAAGGAAAUAAGAUCUUAAAUUCUGAGACAUUUGAUGACUCCAGUCCAUCUCCCGUCAGUAAGUCAUCUGUCCUCACUCUGACUGCUCAUAGAGAUGAUGAUGGAGCUGAGAUCUGGUGUGAAGCAAAACUAAACUUGUGACCAGGAGAACAAGGUCCUGCCAUGAUGCGCUCAAUGUCGCAUAGUGUGACUGUACUCAGGGCUCGAACAACCUUUGGAGUCAUGCUGGCAAUAGGUGUGGCCAUUGGAGUUUUGCUCCUCAUUGCUGUUGCAUAUUAUGUGACACCCAAUGGCACAAUCUCUUUCCACAAUUGUGGCUAUCAACCAGGAACUCCCUCAGGAUGAGUAUAAGGUAAACCUUUAUCUUCUUAUAAAAAUGCACAUCUCUGCUAUUAUUAUUAUUUCUAAUUAUUUUAUUUGGUGUUUGGAGAAAACAUCUGUAACAUGUCUGUUGAUGGCCGACGGACAUGUCUGCUCUGCGUGCUCUGUGGGUGUUCUUCUGUUCAAAGCUGUAGCUUUAAAAAUGCACCUUAAAACACACAUGCAUCAACACUACA